GGAUCGGGCCUUCUCCGGUGCACCAAGCGGGCCUAGAAGGAACCACAGGGGCCGCGGCCGAGCCUCCGCUCCAGGGCCUCCCCCCUGCCUCCUCCGUCAGACUGGAGGCUCCGGAACUCCGACGAGCGCGUUCUCUGCCCUGCGGCUGCCGGCUCUCCGCCCAGGCUGCGGUCUCCUAAAGCCCCUUGCCUCCCCGCUCCCCCACCCUCCCACACACAAUGCCUGACCCCUCUCGGCUCAUUGCUCUUCCUGAGUUCACCUAUUCUUCCGGCCAAAGCCUGAACAGUGUCCCCGUCUUUGCUGUCACCGCCCGCUCCUCCUGCUCGCUCUGCGGGGCCCUCAUUUUCCCAGCUUGGCUUUCUGGCCGUCUGUCCUCCCAGUGUUGGGGCUGCAUGCACCUGGGCUCUCUGGGCCUCUUGGUCAUUCCGUAUUCCUGCUCUUUCCUCUCUUCCCCUUCUCCCCCACUGUCCACCCAAGCACAGCGGUCCCCUUAACCUCUUUCCUCUCCCACUUCCAUCCAGUCCAUCACGUCUUAGGGACCCUGCUCUUUUCCUCUCAAAUUAGCCACAUUCUCCCUUCCCAGUGACCUCUGUCCUACCCAGGCCACUACUCUGGCCCAGACAAUCAACAUCUCUUCCCUGGAGCUGGCAUGGUCUGGUGUCAGCAGAUAGGCAGGAAGCAUUUUUCUACACUGAAUCUGAACCUGCCACUCUCUGCCUAAAACCAUCCAUGACUCCCCAGAGUUGUCCAGAUAGAAUGUAAAAUCUCUUCUUGUCUCUACAAACUGGCCCCUGGUCCUGUCACCACUCCCUCAGGGCUUGCCAACUUCCUUGCUUUCUGUCGGGAACACCCACUCCCCUGUUGUCCCCUUGCUGUCCCCCACUGUCUGCUACUCAUCCUUCAGACCUCUGGACUUUCUCCCAGCUCCCAGAUCAGAUCAGCUCCUCCUCUGCCCUUCCACUCUACACCCUCAGGACACCAUGAACUUCCCUGUGCACAUGGAAACUGAGGUCACUGUUUGGGAGUGGAGUCUGUUUCCUGUCUGUGUCCUCACUGGUGGUGAGGGACAUGGCUGGGCCUAUCUUGCUCAGAACUGAAGCCCUAUGCCUGGCACUGUGUCUGCUUGCCACUGGCCCUCCAUAUUGGAGGAAUUUGUACAAGGCUGAUGUCUCCCCUCACCCUGGACCUCUUCAUAUUCUCCACCCCUGGGGCCAUGGUCCAGACAGCGGGGGAGAAAGGCCUCCCAUCUGUUUCCCAUCUGUCUAAGGGAGGAGUAACACUUAGCUCCUAGUGCUGUUUUGAGGGUUAAGUAAGAGUAUACUUAUUCAGCGCAUGGCACAAAGUGGGUGCCAGCAACAGCCUCUCCCUCCUCUGGCCACAGGGCUUCGGGUACCAGCCUAUGUUUGGGGGUAUAGAAGCCUCCCUGGGGUUGCUUGGGGUAGCAGGGGAGAGAAGGGUCCCCUUUCCCAGAUAAAACCCUGUUUAAUUCUCUUGACAGCUCUGGGAGGUCCAUGUUGUGCCUAGUUCACAGAAGUGUAAGAGGCAAAGAGACCUGCCACAGACAAGCCAGACUGAUCAGUGUCCUCCCCCUCUGCAGAGUGACCUCCCUGGUCUGCUUGGUUUGUCCUGUGGAUGUGCAGAUGUGAUGGCCUGGGAGAGCACGGAGAGAAUCCAGCCCUUUGCUGGCGCGGCCUCCACACACCAUGCCUUGCGGCUUCUCCCCAGAGUAGCCACGGCCUCCACUAAGACUUCAGAGCAGAACAGUGGGCCUGACUCAUGUCACCAGAGCAGAAUUUAAGGAUGGUGAUGAUUUGCCUAACCGAGGUGGAAGCCUAUUUCACCUUGCUUACAGCUGGAGCAUUCGCUGUGCAGGGUGCUCUGCCAUCCCUGAAGUGUGUCUGUCACUCCGCUUGUCCUUCCAGCUGAAGAUGCUCCUGGCUGUUCUCCCUCCCCUGAGUCUGCAGACCAACCAGAGGGAAUGGAGAUGGGAACCCUCCCCCUCCUUCUAAUGAAACAUCACCCAAUACACACAUCCAGAAUGCCACUUGUCAGAAGUAGGUCACGUGGCCACACCAGCUCCAAGGGAGACUGGGAAGUGCGUACUGGGAGACAGCUAGGAGUCUGCCGCCAGGGUGUGGCACCUCCAUUCUGUGACAAAUGACUUUGCUAAUGAGGCACUGAGCUCCUGGCACUGGGAAGGAAAGCAGAAGCUGGACUCCGUGGGAAUCCUCCAGGCAGGGCCCAGUUCUAGGGGGCAGCCUUCUGCCCAGGGCUUGGUAUCCAGGCAUCUAUCUGCGCAGUCCGGAGUCGCCGGGAUGCAGAGACCGAGGGGCCGGCACGCCCCCUGGCGGCGAGACUGCGCACCUGCCCCUGCCGCGGCGCUCAGGGCCAGGAGGCCAGAUUCCCCCUCCGCUGACCUCCCGCAUGGAGGACCCCAUCCAUCCUGCGGCAGAACGGAUUACUGGGGACGGGGUCGAGGUGCGCGAAAGAGGAGGAGACAAAACACUGCAGCUAAAAAUUGCAGGGCACCAAGCCCCGUGAGGCGUCGGGGUUGGGUCGGAUUUACCCGUCGGUGAGGUUUAUCAAGCUGCUCCAACGAGGUCCCCUAAAAUCCUCUUACGGCUCAGUGACAGCAUCACUACCCACGUCCCUGCCCUACCGCCUGGUCGCUGCCUGAGUCUCAGCCCAAAUUCUGGCCCCAGUAGUUGUCCCCAGCUCUGAUGGACCCACCCCACCUGCAAGGUUGCCUGGCUUGGUCCCUUGUGUGGCAUCCAGCCCAGGCCUGCAGAGAUUUGCUUCAUCAGGCCAGACGUUCUUUGAAAUUUGUGGUGUAGUUAGAUUGGUAUUAAGAGUGCCCUUUCCGUGACGGCUCACUUCCUGUCCUGUGGAAAGCCCACAGUGUAGUUUACUGUUCUGUGAGUAGUUCCUCACCGCGUUUAACUGGCUGUCUGAUGCACUUUCUUUUGUGUCUUGACUAUCGUAAUGAUAAAAGACUUUUAUUGAGUAUGUUUGAAGUAUUACAAAAGGCAGGUUGCUUUUUAUUCUAUCCAUGUUUGGGAUUUUGAGGAAGAAAUUUUAUUCUUUUAUGUUAGGAGGGUCAGAAACUCUGCACCUUUGUACAUAAUAUAGUUUUUAGCAAUAAAGCUGCACGGGCUGAGAAAGCACUGA
This is a long non-coding RNA of Nycticebus coucang (slow loris), 3168 nucleotides long. RefSeq lists it as uncharacterized. Lineage: Eukaryota; Metazoa; Chordata; Mammalia; Primates; Lorisidae. The record is from RefSeq and is a predicted model, not a curated record. The transcript has 3 exons.